This 2904-nucleotide long non-coding RNA is filed under the name Phascolarctos cinereus (koala). RNAcentral's name for it is "lncRNA (ENSPCIG00000031859.1)". Lineage: Eukaryota; Metazoa; Chordata; Mammalia; Diprotodontia; Phascolarctidae. The record is from RNAcentral.
GCAGCCUUCCUUCAGAGAAAAGGCCUAGAGGCCCCAUCCGAGGUUCCCCCCCCCCCCGCUGGGAGGUGUGACUCAAUCCACCUCUUCAAUGGUGGGUCCCGGGGUGGGGUUGGCCUGCCUGGCCUGGGCCCCACAGCUGCUCCCUGCAGCAGGUGCCCCGGGUGCCUGGUAGAGCCCGGCAAUGAUGGGGUGGCUCAGGCGUUCCAGUUCCUUCUUCUGGUGUUCAUACUCCUCCUUGUCGGCCAGCUGGUUGCCCUCCAGCCAGGAGAGGACCUCCUGGCACUUCUGCAGCACCUUCCUCCUAUCUUCUUCCUUGAUCUUGUCCCGAAGGCCGUCCUCUUGCACCGUGCUCUUGAGGUGGAAGACGUAGGCCUCGAGGGAGUUCUUGGCAGCCACCUUCUCCCGCUGAACCUCGUCCUCGGCCUUGUACCUCUCAGCCUCCUGCACCAUCCUCUCCACCUCCUCCUUGCUGAGCCGGCCCUUGUCGUUGGUGAUGGUGAUCCUGUUGGCCUUGCCCGUGCUCUUGUCCGUGGCCGAGACGUUCAGGAUGCCAUUGGCGUCGAUGUCAAAGGUGACCUCGACCUGGGGGACCCCCCGCGGCGCAGGGGGGAUGCCCGACAGCUCAAAGCGUCCCAGCAGGUUGUUGUCCCGGGUCAUGGCCCGCUCCCCCUCGUACACCUGGAUCAGGACUCCCGGCUGGUUGUCCGCGUACGUGGUGAAGGUCUGCGUCUGCUUGGUGGGGAUGGUGGAGUUUCGCUUGAUCAGGGUGGUCAUCACCCCGCCUGCCGUCUCCAGGCCCAGGGACAGGGGAGCCACAUCGAGCAGCAGCAGGUCCCGCACCUUCUCCGACUUGUCCCCCAUCAACACGGCCGCCUGCACCGCCGCCCCGUAGGCCACGGCCUCGUCCGGGUUGAUGCUCUUGUUCAGCUCCUUGCCGUUGAAGAAGUCCUGCAGCAGCUUCUGCACCUUGGGGAUGCGCGUGGAGCCCCCCACCAGCACCACGUCGUGGAUCUGGCCCUUGUCCAUCUUGGCGUCCCGCAGGGCCUUCUCCACGGGCUCCAGGGUUUCCCGGAAGAGGUCGGAGCACAGCUCCUCAAAGCGGGCUCGGGUGAUGGUCGUGUAGAAGUCCACCCCCUCGUACAGCGAAUCGAUCUCCACGUUGGCCUGGGUGCUGGAGGACAGCGUGCGCUUGGCCCGCUCACAGGCUGUCCUCAGCCUCCUCAGGGCCCGCUUGCUCUGACUCGGGUCCUUCCUGUGUCUGCGCUUGAACUCUUGCACAAAGUGGUUCACCAGCCGGUUGUCAAAGUCCUCCCCGCCCAGGUGGGUGUCCCCGGCUGUGGCCUUCACCUCAAAGACGCCGUCGUCGAUGGUGAGGAUGGACACGUCGAAGGUGCCGCCCCCCAGGUCGAAGAUGAGCACGUUGCGCUCCCCCCUGCCCGACCCGUCCAGCCCGUAGGCGAUGGCUGCCGCCGUGGGCUCGUUGAUGAUCCUCAGCACGUUGAGCCCCGCGAUGGCCCCCGCGUCCUUGGUGGCCUGGCGCUGCGAGUCGUUGAAGUAGGCCGGCACCGUGAUGACCGCGUUGCUCACCGGGUGCCCCAGGUAGGCCUCCGCCGUCUCCUUCAUCUUGCUCAGCACCAUGGAGGAGAUCUCCUCCGGGUAGAAGGCCUUGCUCUCGCCUUUGUAGGACACCCGCACCUUGGGUUUCCCGCCCUCGCUCACCACCUGGAAGGGCCAGUGUUUCAUGUCCGACUGCACCACCUCGUCCGAGAACUUGCGCCCGAUCAGCCUCUUGGCGUCAAAGACGGUGUUCUGCGGGUUCAUGGCCACCUGGCUUUUGGCCGCAUCGCCGACCAGCCGCUCGCUCUCCGUGAAGGCCACGUAGCUCGGCGUGGUGCGGUUGCCUUGGUCGUUGGCGAUGAUCUCCACCCGGCCGUGCUGGAACACGCCCACGCAGGAGUAGGUCGUGCCCAGGUCGAUGCCGAUCGCCGUUCCCUGGGGGGUACCCAUGGCUCGGGGACACCUGCCUUCCUUCCUCCCUCCGGCACUGGACGGGGACGAGCUGCCUUUCUGCGCGACUCUGCGGGGCUCUGCGCGGCUCCUGGCACAGCCGCUGGUAUCGAUACCAAGAAGGCAGGCAACCGGGCUCGAGCGGCCGCUCCGGGUGCUGGGCUCACAACGGGCUGGAGGGUUCCCCCGACUCAGAUCCUCCUGAUCCUCGGUAUCUGCUCACGGACGGACGCUGCUGGUGCUGGUGCUGCUGCUGCUGCUGGUGCUGGUGCUGGCACUCCUGGUGCUGCUGCUGCUGCUGCUGGAGGGAGUGGGUCCUGGAUCUCGGGCGGCUCUGCGGCUCGGUCUCGGAUCCUGUUGUGUUCUCAGUGCCUUUUCUCAGCUGGGGGGGAUGUGCUGGGCUCUGCUCCGGGCUGGCCUCUUUAUCCUGUGGCCCGGGACCCGCCUCCUCCCUCCGCCUCCGCCUGCGAACUUUCGGGCACCCUCUCGGGGAACCCGGAGUCCCGGAGAAAGGCUCUGGAGGAGCCCGCCCCGCCACCCGACGGAGACCAAUGGGAAGCGAGGACUCGGCUCAGCCAGAACCUUCGCGGAGGUUCCGAGAGCCCGGGAACUGAGGCGAGGGGAGGGGUGCCGAGGGGAGCUGGGGGUAGCCAGGCUGGCCAGGGAGCCGGGCGGGGCGGGGCUUGUCGUGAGUGCUGCGGCUUUGGGGGCUCAGCCGCUACCGUGAACGAGCCUUUCGGCGUCGGCUUCUGUUGGGUUGGGGGCGGACGGAUCGUAGGUUCUUGGGCGCAGGGACUGCCCCGGAGCCCAGGCCAGGUGGCUGGAGCUCCCCAGUGCUGCUCUCCGAGAAUGGGCUCGGCUGCAGCUCGAGCCUGGCUUCAGGUGGACCUAGCGUAG